RNAcentral lists this ribosomal RNA (506 nucleotides) under uncultured bacterium. RNAcentral describes it as "partial 16S ribosomal RNA". It matches the Rfam family "Bacterial small subunit ribosomal RNA", at positions 30 to 523 of the family's 1533-position model. The record is from RNAcentral.
AUUGAACGCUGGCGGCAGGCCUAACACAUGCAAGUCGAGCGGCAGCGGAAAGUAGCUUGCUACUUUGCCGGCGAGCGGCGGACGGGUGAGUAAUGUCUGGGAAACUGCCUGAUGGAGGGUGAUAACUACUGGAAACGGUAGCUAAUACCGCAUAACGUCGCAAGACCAAAGAGGGGGACCUUCGGGCCUCUUGCCAUCAGAUGUGCCCAGAUGGGAUUAGCUAGUAGGUGGGGUAACGGCUCACCUAGGCGAAGAUCCCUAGCUGGUCUGAGAGGAUGACCAGCCACACUGGAACUGGGACACGGUCCAGACGCCUACGGGAGGCAGCAGUGGGGAAUAUUGCACAAUGGGCGCAAGCCUGAUGCAGCCAUGCCGCGUGUAUGAAGAAGGCCUUCGGGUUGUAAAGUACUUUCAGCGGGGAGGAAGGUGUUGUGGUUAAUAACCACAGCAAUUGACGUUACCCGCAGAAGAAGCACCGGCUAACUCCGUGCCAGCAGCCGCAGUAA